GCUCAACCGGGGAGGGUCAUUGGAAACUGGGGAACUUGAGUGCAGAAGAGGAGAGUGGAAUUCCACGUGUAGCGGUGAAAUGCGUAGAGACGUGGAGGAACACCAGUGGCGAAGGCGACUCUCUGGUCUGUAACUGACGCUGAGGCGCGAAAGCGUGGGGAGCGAACAGGAUUAGAUACCCUGGUAGUCCACGCCGUAAACGAUGAGUGCUAAGUGUUAGAGGGUUUCCGCCCUUUAGUGCUGCAGCAAACGCAUUAAGCACUCCGCCUGGGGAGUACGGUCGCAAGACUGAAACUCAAAGGAAUUGACGGGGGCCCGCACAAGCGGUGGAGCAUGUGGUUUAAUUCGAAGCAACGCGAAGAACCUUACCAGGUCUUGACAUCCUCUGACAACCCUAGAGAUAGGGCUUCCCCUUCGGGGGCAGAGUGACAGGUGGUGCAUGGUUGUCGUCAGCUCGUGUCGUGAGAUGUUGGGUUAAGUCCCGCAACGAGCGCAACCCUUGAUCUUAGUUGCCAGCAUUCAGUUGGGCACUCUAAGGUGACUGCCGGUGACAAACCGGAGGAAGGUGGGGAGGACGUCAAAUCAUCAUGCCCCUUAUGACCUGCGCUACACACGUGCUACAAUGGACAGAACAAAG
This 637-nucleotide ribosomal RNA is filed under the name uncultured bacterium. RNAcentral's name for it is "bacterial SSU rRNA". It matches the Rfam family "Bacterial small subunit ribosomal RNA", at positions 607 to 1244 of the family's 1533-position model. The record is from RNAcentral.